RNAcentral lists this ribosomal RNA (432 nucleotides) under uncultured bacterium. RNAcentral describes it as "partial 16S ribosomal RNA". It matches the Rfam family "Bacterial small subunit ribosomal RNA", at positions 29 to 506 of the family's 1533-position model. The record is from RNAcentral.
AACGAACGCUGGCGGCAUGCCUAACACAUGCAAGUCGAACGACACCUUCGUGUCUAGUGGCUCACGGGUGCGUAACGCGUGGGACCCUGCCCUUAGGUUCGGCAUAACUCCCCUACAUGGGUGCUAAUACCGGAUAAUGUCUUCGAACCCAAGAUUGAUCGCCUUUGUGUGGGCCCGCGUUGUAUUAGCUACUUGGUAGGGUAAAAGCCUACCAAGGCUAAGAUCCAUAGCUGGUCUGAGGGGAUGAUCAGCCACACUGGGACAGGGACAAGUCCCAGACUCUGACGGGAGGGAGCAGGGGGGAAGAUGGGAUAAUGGGCGAAAGCAUGAGCCAGCAAUGCCGCGAGAGUGAUGAAGGCCUUAGGGUUGUAAAGCGCUUUUAACCGGGAUGAUAAUGACAGUACCGGGAGAAAAAGCCCCGGUGAACUCCGG